GAGGUUCAGGCAAAAAUUAGGGAUAUAAAAAAGGAGUACACCCGGUGAGUCGAAAACCCAAAAGGGCGGCUCAGGCAAAAAAUGGGUAUCCCGGUGGAUUGAAAACCCGAAAAGGGGGCGAUCCAGGCAAAAGUUAGGGAAUAAGCGAAUGACUGUGAUCUGAGUUCAUCAGUGUUAUAUCACCGUUUCAUUCAAUCCGGCAAUCUUCGAAGGUUA
Molecule: long non-coding RNA, 216 nt
Filed under: Lathyrus oleraceus (garden pea)
Lineage: Eukaryota; Viridiplantae; Streptophyta; Magnoliopsida; Fabales; Fabaceae
Description: Pisum sativum (pea) long non-coding RNA (PSAT_LNC036128)
Source: RNAcentral